UGCACUCAUAAGGCAGCCUUCACGUGGCGAGUGUGUUAAGUAAUAGGUUAAAUGAAUCUUCCAGUUUGUACCUAUGAAAACUAAUGUCUU
Molecule: non-coding RNA, 90 nt
Filed under: unclassified sequences
Source: RNAcentral